UCCCAUAUAGAUCAGUCAGUAAAGCAUCUGCCUACAAUGCAGGAGACCUGGGUUCAAUUCCUGGGUUGGGAA
This 72-nucleotide transfer RNA is filed under the name Bos taurus (domestic cattle). It matches the Rfam family "tRNA". Rfam says of the family: Transfer RNA (tRNA) molecules are approximately 80 nucleotides in length. Their secondary structure includes four short double-helical elements and three loops (D, anti-codon, and T loops). The record is from Rfam by way of RNAcentral. RNAcentral also lists the same sequence under 3 other names. Lineage: Eukaryota; Metazoa; Chordata; Mammalia; Artiodactyla; Bovidae.